UACGUAGGCAGCAAGCGUUGUUCGGAAUUACUGGGCGUAAAGAGUGUGUAGGCGGUGCUCCAAGUCUGGUGUGAAAUCUCCCGGCUUAACUGGGAGGGUGCAUUAGAAACUGGAAUGCUAGAGGAUGGGAGAGGUAAGCGGAAUUCCUGGUGUAGCGGUGAAAUGCGUAGAUAUCAGGAGGAACACCUGUGGUGUAGACAGCUUACUGGACCAUUUCUGACGCUGAGACACGAAAGCUAGGGGAGCAAACAGG
RNAcentral lists this ribosomal RNA (253 nucleotides) under uncultured bacterium. Its description in RNAcentral is "partial 16S ribosomal RNA". It matches the Rfam family "Bacterial small subunit ribosomal RNA", at positions 524 to 776 of the family's 1533-position model. The record is from RNAcentral.